UACGGAGGAUGCAAGCGUUAUCCGGAUUUAUUGGGUUUAAAGGGUGCGUAGGCGGAUAUGUAAGUCAGCGGUGAAACUCACAGGCUCAACCUGUGCCGUGCCGUUGAAACUGUGUAUCUGGAAUGCUGAUGCUGUGGGAGGAAUGUGUAGUGUAGCGGUGAAAUGCAUAGAUAUUACACAGAACACCGAUUGCGAAGGCAUCUCACAAAGCCGUUAUUGACGCUGAGGCACGAAAGUGUGGGGAUCAAA
Molecule: ribosomal RNA, 249 nt
Filed under: uncultured prokaryote
Description: partial 16S ribosomal RNA
Rfam family: Bacterial small subunit ribosomal RNA
Source: RNAcentral